RNAcentral lists this ribosomal RNA (400 nucleotides) under uncultured bacterium. RNAcentral describes it as "bacterial SSU rRNA". It matches the Rfam family "Bacterial small subunit ribosomal RNA", at positions 356 to 773 of the family's 1533-position model. The record is from RNAcentral.
GGGGAAUAUUGGACAAUGGGCGCAAGCCUGAUCCAGCCAUGCCGCGUGAGUGAUGAAGGCCUUAGGGUUGUAAAGCUCUUUCAGUGGGGACGAUAAUGACGGUACCCACAGAAGAAGCCCCGGCUAACUUCGUGCCAGCAGCCGCGGUAAUACGAAGGGGGCUAGCGUUGUUCGGAUUUACUGGGCGUAAAGCGCACGUAGGCGGAUCGUUAAGUCGGGGGUGAAAUCCUGGAGCUCAACUCCAGAACUGCCUUCGAUACUGGCGAUCUUGAGUCCGGAAGAGGUGAGUGGAACUCCUAGUGUAGAGGUGGAAUUCGUAGAUAUUAGGAAGAACACCAGUGGCGAAGGCGGCUCACUGGUCCGGUACUGACGCUGAGGUGCGAAAGCGUGGGGAGCAAAC